UCGCACGAAGGGUGCACCCGACCGGGGGCAUCUGCACAGCACUUUGGGGCAGGUGUCAACUUUCAGUGAAAAAAAUGAGAGAGAGAAAAAGGGUAAGAAUAGUUAUAAGGAGAUAGAGCCGGAGCAGGAGCCACUUGCUGAAAGAGCGCCAGGACUAGCAGUCCAUCUAUUUGCUCUCUGAUCCCACCGAGGCGUUGAGCCGUCUCCACUUCCUGCUGCCCCCUCCAUCGCAAUCGACUCUUAAUCUCAGAUAGGCGGGUCUUAUAAUUUCCAUCUUCGUCCGUCGAUCCGGCGAUGGAAGGGGAAGGGGAAGGGGAAGGGGAAGGGGGAGGAGCGGUGGCUGUGGGGGCGGUGGUGGGAGAGCAGUAUUGCAGCGAAGAGGAGCGGGAGCUGACGGUGCGGAAGACGUCCCUCUUCUUUCCGGGGGACGGGUUCGCCGCCUACGACCCCCAGACAGGGGAGAUGGUAUUCCGUGUAGACACAUACGGCCGGGGACCCGCCCUUGCCGACCAGCUCGUCCUCAUGGAUACCCCCGGCGCCUCCAUCCUUACCUUCCGACGCAAGUGGCCGAGCCUGCACCAGCGGUGGGAGGGCUUCCUGGGUGAGCGGAGUGAGGGGCAGGAACCGCUGUUCACCGUGAGGAGGUCAUCCAUCUUCGGCGGCGACCGAGGCGAUGUGGCGGUAGAGGUGCACGGCGUUGGCGGGACGUACCGGAUCGAGGGUUCCUUCGCCCAGCGCUGUUGCCGGGUGCUGCACGAGGGCCGCGGCGGAGGGGGAGAGAGAGGAGGGGUGGAGGUGGUGGUGGCGGAGAUCAAGCGCAAAGUGGAUGCGUGCGCCCACGUGGUGCUGGGAAGGGACGUGUUUCGCCUCUGCCUGCGGCCCCGUUUCGACGCGGCCUUCGCGAUGGGCCUCGUCCUCGUCCUCGACCAGAUCUGCCGCGACGACGAGGAAGACGACAUCUCCCCUGCCGACCGCGACGAUAUCCAGGGCGCCGACAGCCACGCCGACGGGGAUGCCCACCACUCAUAACCUCUCUUCUUCUGUACCAGUUAAUCGACACUACUCUUUCCACCUCUCUCCGAACCGGGUUCCCCUCUUUGGCUCUCUCGUUUUCUCUGCGCCUCUUUUCUUACUCCGCUUUUGUAAAGCGUUAUGAUUCGCCGAGAUGGUGGAUUUUUUUGUGUCCGCACCAGACCUCCACCAUCAGUUUUUUUUUUUUUUUUGCCUUUUUCGCUUUCCUUAUUUUUCUUUUUUUAUUAUAAUAGAGUUUUUUAUUAUCAGUAAAAAUGAUAUUGUUAUUUUCUCUUCCAAA
This is an RNA transcript of Phoenix dactylifera (date palm), 1312 nucleotides long. It is a transcript of the gene named protein LURP-one-related 5, with no coding region annotated. The record is from RefSeq and is a predicted model, not a curated record. NCBI's taxonomy places the organism in Eukaryota, Viridiplantae, Streptophyta, Magnoliopsida, Arecales, Arecaceae.